This 490-nucleotide ribosomal RNA is filed under the name uncultured bacterium. RNAcentral describes it as "partial 16S ribosomal RNA". It matches the Rfam family "Bacterial small subunit ribosomal RNA", at positions 30 to 507 of the family's 1533-position model. The record is from RNAcentral.
AUUGAACGCUGGCGGCAGGCCUAACACAUGCAAGUCGAACGGUAACAGGAAGCAGCUUGCUGCUUUGCUGACGGGUGGCGGACGGGUGAGUAAUGUCUGGGAAACUGCCUGAUGGAGGGGGAUAACUACUGGAAACGGUAGCUAAUACCGCAUAACGUCGCAAGACCAAAGAGGGGGACCUUAGGGCCUCUUGCCAUCGGAUGUGCCCAGAUGGGAUUAGCUAGUAGGUGGGGUAACGGCUCACCUAGGCGACGAUCCCUAGCUGGUCUGAGAGGAUGACCAGCCACACUGGAACUGAGACACGGUCCAGACUCCUACGGGAGGCAGCAGUGGGGAAUAUUGCACAAUGGGCGCAAGCCUGAUGCAGCCAUGCCGCGUGUAUGAAGAAGGCCUUCGGGUUGUAAAGUACUUUCAGCGGGGAGGAAGGGAGUAAAGUUAAUACCUUUGCUCAUUGACGUUACCCGCAGAAGAAGCACCGGCUAACUCCGUG